Long non-coding RNA from Triticum aestivum (bread wheat), 3292 nucleotides. RefSeq lists it as uncharacterized. Lineage: Eukaryota; Viridiplantae; Streptophyta; Magnoliopsida; Poales; Poaceae. The record is from RefSeq and is a predicted model, not a curated record. The transcript has 4 exons.
UCUACGCUCUACACAUCUCGGUACCGGCCGCAGCUCAUCCUAGUACAGCUCGCACCCGCCGCGUCCGGCACCUGCUCCGGCGACUCUCACCGCCGGCCCGAUGGCCCCUCGCCCCGCACCCAUUCCGGCAUGGUCAAGCUCCUCUCCGACCUCCUCCACGACGUCCCGCCCGCGCCCUGCACCGGCCUCGCCCGCCGCCGCCCACGUCUCCUCUCGCUCCUCCCGCUCCUGCCCCCCUACACCGUCUCCCCGCACUGGCUCUCCCUCCCCGCGCUUUCGGUCCUAUUCCCACGCCGUCCGUCUCUCCAUCUUCCCCGCAGGCCGCAUCGCUCCGAACCAGUAUGCGGCUUCCCACAUAUGACAUAUCGUUCCCCCUUGCUCAGUUUCGUCAGCUCACCCUUGCCCGUGUCCUGUUCGAUGAAAUGCCGCAGUCUGGUGUUCGCCUGGAUGAGUAUGCUUACCGGGCUGGGAUUCGGGUUUACUGCGAGGCAGGGAAUCUCACGGCGCCGAGAUGCUCGCGGGGAGGAUUGGGGGUCAAGGUCAGCAUUGUGGCGUAUGUACUGCUGUAUGGAUUGUGCAAGAAUCAACGCAUUCAGAAGGCAGCGGAGCCGCGGAGGUAAAGAAUAACAUGGCGGUGACUGGUGAGGAGUUGCAGCUGAUGAGAUGACUUACCCGGAGCUGCUGUAUGGGUUUUGUUGGACGGAGGAGCUGUAAAUGACAUUGAGAAUGACAUGCCCAGGCUUGCUUUCGUGCCAUCAUCAGAGGUCAAUUGCUCAUUUAUGCUUGAUGGGCUAAGAAAGAGGAGGGAGGUUGAGGAGGCUUUCAGGUUAGCUUCUUAGUUGAGCGAGUUCGGUAUGGCGAUGAACAUAUUUGCGUGCAAUGCAUUGCCUGAUAACCUGUUCAAGAACGGUAUGUUUGGUGGGGCAGACAGGCUUUUCAGUGAGAUGUUAGACAGGGGUCUGGUGCCAAAUGAGGUGACUUAUCCUAUAUGACACAUGCACUUUGCAAAAGGGGCAUGGUGGAGGAUACGCUUCAUAUGUUUCAUAGGUUGCGGGAGAAGGGAGUCAGACUGACCGUUUAUGCGUACAUUUCCGUAAUUAAUGAUUGCUACAAAACAGGAGGAUUUGGACAUGGCAGACGGACUUUCUGGGGGAGAUAGCUAAGAUAGGAGUGACACUGAAUGUAGCUUCAUAUUCUCCACUCAUUGCUGGUCUCGGUAGAGAAGGGGGUAUGUCCAGUGCCAUGAAACUCCGCCGGGAGACGGCUGAGAAGGGUGUUUGAUGGACUACUUAUACUGCAUGGAUUCUGCAGAGAAGGAAGAUUGAGCGAAACAUACGAUGUUUGGAAUGAGUGGCAAUGUGGGGAGUCAAGCUUGAUCUUGUCAGCUUUAUCAUUAUUGUGUAUGCAGCUUUGAAACAUCAUGAUACAGAAAAAUCAUGCGUAUUACUGAGGGAUAUGAAAUGAAAAAGUGUGAUGCCAGACAAUGUUUUCCAUACAUGCAUGAUUGACAUGCACUCAGAAGAAGGAAUUAUGGUUAAUGCAUUAAACUGUUGAGAUAAGAUGAUUCUGGUAAAUAAUUCUGCAAUUCAGGGCAUUUGAGCAGCGCAGAGCUCCUUUGUAAAUAAAUGAUCAUAUCAUUCUAGCUCGAAUGUCUUGAGCCGAGGCUCCCCUUUUGCUCCAUGUUCCCCAAUACGCUUACCAGCAAAUAGGAGAUAUGCAUCUCUGAUUGCAUGCAUCUCUGCUGCUGCAUUUCUUAUCAACGUCCGCUCUCGAGGCUGUGCCUUUGAGCAGGAUAUGCCAAGCCUGAAGACAGAAAGCAAGCACUCCUGGAUUCUACUACUGGUAAUAUCAUCCUUUGGUUCUCCAUGCAGCCAGAUUGUUGGGUCAGCUAUCUCCAAGGUUCUGUCAGGAAGAGCAUCCUCGACAAAUUUAUGCAGAUCCAGUGAAUCCCCAAAUGUUUCAUCUAUUGGGCUUCUUCCAGUAAACAUCUCAAGCAGUAAUAUGCCAAGACUAUAAAUAUCACCAUGAGUGGAUACCACAGAGCCUUCUCCAUACUCUACAGUUAUGCAAAGUUUUGUGGUUAGCAUGCCAUAUUUGAGUGAAAAGUAAAAGAUACUAAUAUUCAAGAAUUUCAGUCACCUGGAGCAACAUAGCCUAUGGAGCCUCUUAUUCCAAUUGAGCUAUAUGAAUUUUGCAUUCCCCCGCUUGUAUUUUCUUGAAGGAUCCUUGAUAUGCCAAAGUCUCCAACUCGGGCGCUCAUGUUGUCAGAAAGAAGAAUGUUGCUUGGCUUAAGGUCGCAAUGGAUUACCGAUGGUUGACAGUAGUUGUGCAGAUAUUCUACUGCGUCCACAAUAUCGACACCAAUAUCAAGUCUCUGGGCAAGGCUGAGUGUGUUGCUUGUAGUGGGCUCUUGAGAUUUUGGAUGAAGCCAACCAGCCAAGUUACCGUUGGGCAUGAACUCAAAAAUCAAUGCCUUGAACUCUUGACCUUGCUGGUUGAUGCUUGAACAAGAGGUAAUGAUCUUAACGAGACAACGGUGCCGUAUCCUUCUCAUGGCUUCACAUUCAGUCUCAAAACUCUUGGAAUACCUAGAUUGACCAAGAUUAAACACCUUGACAGCCCAUGUUCUUUCCUCAUUGUCCAAGACACACUUAUAAACCGCUCCAUAACUUCCUCUCCCAAGUAAGUUGACUUCUGAAAAUUCAUUAGUUCCUCUCAAUAAUACUUGAUAGGGAAUUCUCUGGUAAUGGUCAUCAACAAUUAAAUUUUGUGAUAAUGUCUUGUGGCUUUGUUUGAGCCUCUUGCAAAGUAUCCAAACAAGAAGAAUAAGUGAAAGUGACAACAAGAUUGCUCCGGCUGUUGCUAGAGAAAUUACAAGAGACUUUUGCAUCUUCUUUUUGUUCUUGCUUAAGGGGCUUAUGGAGCAUGGAGCCAAAUGAAGUUGAGGUGUACCUCCACACAAAUUGGCAUUCCCAUCAACUGCUAAGUACAGUUCCUGCAGGUUUCCAAUGCUAGCAAGGGCAUCAGGAAUAUCACCAGAUAACUUAUUCAUGGUCAGGUUCAGUAUACUGAGCCCCUUUAUAUUCUUCAGUGACUGAGAUAACUGGUUUCCUGCUAGAAUUAGUAUGUUAAGGUUUGCCAAGCUACCAACAUCAUUAGGAAUGGCCCCAGAAAAUGAAUUGUAUGACAAGUCCAAGUACCAAGAUAGGCUGGAUAAUCUAAAAAUAUCUCUGGGAAUCGAACCGUUAAGUUUGUGAUUCUUUGACAAGUCAAGUACAAAGAGGUUUUUCAA